This 480-nucleotide ribosomal RNA is filed under the name uncultured bacterium. Its description in RNAcentral is "partial 16S ribosomal RNA". It matches the Rfam family "Bacterial small subunit ribosomal RNA", at positions 28 to 507 of the family's 1533-position model. The record is from RNAcentral.
GACGAACGCUGGCGGCGUGCUUAACACAUGCAAGUCGAACGAUGAAGAAAAGAAUCGAAGCUUCGGCAGAAAUUCAUUUCGGAUUAGUGGCAGACGGGUGAGUAACGCGUGAGCAACCUACCUCUUACAAAGGGAUAGCCUCGGGAAACCGGGAUUAAUACCAUAUAACAUUGCGACGAAGCAUUUCGAUGCAAUCAAAGCUACGGCGGUAAGAGAUGGGCUCGCGUCCCAUUAACCGGAUGGUGAGGUAACGGCUCACCAUAGUGACGAUGGGUAACCGGGCUGAGAGGGUGAACGGUCACACUGGAACUGAGACACGGUCCAGACUCCUACGGGAGGCAGCAGUGGGGAAUAUUGCACAAUGGAGGGAACUCUGAUGCAGCGACGCCGCGUGAGUGAUGAAGGAAUUCGUUUCGUAAAACUCUGUUCUAUGGGAAGAAAAGGACUGUACCAUAGGAGAGAGCUCCGGCUAAAUACGUG